ACUAAUCACAUCAUAAUAUUGUAUUAGCAUCAAUCAACAAUUUAUAUGAAUAUAAUCAAUAUUACUUCAAAUACAAUUUAACUAAAUAGAAGGAACACAGCAAUAAAUUGAUGGAAAAAAAUUACCUCUCAACUGUAAAAAUAGAAGUAAUGUAAAAGGCGAGUACCACGGCAAAACACACUGCAGAUAGAGGCGAGGCGAUGGGGUCGGAGACAAGCAGAAGCUGGAUCGACGAGUUAGUGUGCUGCACUUUGGAGGGAAUGGGAAGCUUUAAAAUGAGAUCAAAACAUGAGAAAUUUCGGUGUGGAUGACACCGUUCAUGUGCACAAAGAUACAACAAAUUUUGUAGAAGAAAUUUGUUAGAUAUAUUCGAGUUUCUUAUGCAUCCUAUAUCAAUGUUUGAUUUUUCAUAAAAUUUGUGUUUGAUAAUUAAUUUAUAGUAUUUAUGGGACAACAUUUUAGAUGGAUAUGUAUUUAAGACGUGAUUGAUUUAGUUUGAGACUUCUAAUUGCUUGAAGUAAUUUUUUGAGUAGCCUAAGUUUAGUGAACAAUAUUUUGUAACUAUGUCUAAUAUUAUGUGCCUUAAUUUUAGAGUAGAAUUUUGUGGUCAA
Molecule: non-coding RNA, 611 nt
Organism: Arachis ipaensis
Lineage: Eukaryota; Viridiplantae; Streptophyta; Magnoliopsida; Fabales; Fabaceae
Source: RefSeq, a predicted model, not a curated record